RNAcentral lists this transfer RNA (87 nucleotides) under bacterium. Its description in RNAcentral is "tRNA-Leu". It matches the Rfam family "tRNA". Rfam says of the family: Transfer RNA (tRNA) molecules are approximately 80 nucleotides in length. Their secondary structure includes four short double-helical elements and three loops (D, anti-codon, and T loops). Further hydrogen bonds mediate the characteristic L-shaped molecular structure. tRNAs have two regions of fundamental functional importance: the anti-codon, which is responsible for specific mRNA codon recognition, and the 3' end, to which the tRNAs corresponding amino acid is attached (by aminoacyl-tRNA synthetases). tRNAs cope with the degeneracy of the genetic code in two manners: having more than one tRNA (with a specific anti-codon) for a particular amino acid; and 'wobble' base-pairing, i.e. permitting non-standard base-pairing at the 3rd anti-codon position. RNAcentral also lists the same sequence under 2 other names. The record is from RNAcentral.
GCCCGGGUGGCGGAAUUGGUAGACGCGCUACGUUCAGGUCGUAGUGAGGGAUUCCUCGUGGGAGUUCGAGUCUCCCCUCGGGCACCA